UACGGAGGGUGCAAGCGUUAUCCGGAUUCACUGGGUUUAAAGGGUGCGUAGGUGGGUCUGUAAGUCCGUGGUGAAAUCUCCGAGCUUAACUUGGAAACUGCCAUGGAUACUAUAGAUCUUGAAUACUGUGGAGGUUAGCGGAAUAUGUCAUGUAGCGGUGAAAUGCUUAGAUAUGACAUAGAACACCAAUUGCGAAGGCAGCUGGCUACACAAAUAUUGACACUGAUGCACGAAAGCGUGGGGAUCAAACGGG
This 253-nucleotide ribosomal RNA is filed under the name uncultured bacterium. Its description in RNAcentral is "partial 16S ribosomal RNA". It matches the Rfam family "Bacterial small subunit ribosomal RNA", at positions 524 to 776 of the family's 1533-position model. The record is from RNAcentral.